GUGGAAAAUGUGGUUUCUUUUAUUGGGUGA
RNAcentral lists this non-coding RNA (30 nucleotides) under Rattus norvegicus (Norway rat). The record is from RNAcentral. Lineage: Eukaryota; Metazoa; Chordata; Mammalia; Rodentia; Muridae.